Molecule: long non-coding RNA, 387 nt
Filed under: Homo sapiens (human)
Lineage: Eukaryota; Metazoa; Chordata; Mammalia; Primates; Hominidae
Description: HSALNT0133398
Source: RNAcentral
CUUAUGCACUCCAUGGAUGCUGAAUGAGUCAUUGAAUGAAGUGGAGUCUAGGUUGUGCCUCAGGCCUUCCAGUGGGGCUGGAAGGAACAGUUGUGAAGUUGUGGGGCGGCUUCUGUGCAUCGGGGGACUCUGGAGUUAGAUGGUUUCCCAGGGCUCUGAAGGAGAAGAGCUGUGUUCCUAAUAAUGAUCUCAAUGGGAAUAGAGAUUGCUGGGGACCGCAGGGGCCAGGUUGUCAUUCCCCAAAGCUUCCCCUUCAUCAUCCAAGAAGGCAUUCAGGUCUUUCUGUGCUAGGCCCCAGGUAAAGUGCUGGACUACCCAGUAAUUGGGUUCAGUAGCAGGAUGGCCUCAGAUUGAGGUCCCAGGGCCAAAGGACCACUCCUCUCCUCA